Molecule: transfer RNA, 73 nt
Filed under: Deltaproteobacteria bacterium
Lineage: Bacteria; Pseudomonadati; Myxococcota; Myxococcia
Description: tRNA-Thr
Rfam family: tRNA
About the family: Transfer RNA (tRNA) molecules are approximately 80 nucleotides in length. Their secondary structure includes four short double-helical elements and three loops (D, anti-codon, and T loops). Further hydrogen bonds mediate the characteristic L-shaped molecular structure. tRNAs have two regions of fundamental functional importance: the anti-codon, which is responsible for specific mRNA codon recognition, and the 3' end, to which the tRNAs corresponding amino acid is attached (by aminoacyl-tRNA synthetases). tRNAs cope with the degeneracy of the genetic code in two manners: having more than one tRNA (with a specific anti-codon) for a particular amino acid; and 'wobble' base-pairing, i.e. permitting non-standard base-pairing at the 3rd anti-codon position.
Source: RNAcentral
GCCGGCGUAGCUCAGCUGGUAGAGCAACUGAUUUGUAAUCAGUAGGUCGACGGUUCGAUUCCGCCCGCCGGCU